GUUGGGUAGGGGAGCGUUCUGUAAGCCUGUGAAGGUGUACUGUGAGGUAUGCUGGAGGUAUCAGAAGUGCGAAUGCUGACAUAAGUAACGAUAAAGCGGGUGAAAAGCCCGCUCGCCGGAAGACCAAGGGUUCCUGUCCAACGUUAAUCGGGGCAGGGUGAGUCGACCCCUAAGGCGAGGCCGAAAGGCGUAGUCGAUGGGAAACAGGUUAAUAUUCCUGUACUUGGUGUUACUGCGAAGGGGGGACGGAGAAGGCUAUGUUGGCCGGGCGACGGUUGUCCCGGUUUAAGCGUGUAGGCUGGUUUUCCAGGCAAAUCCGGAAAAUCAAGGCUGAGGCGUGAUGACGAGGCACUACGGUGCUGAAGCAACAAAUGCCCUGCUUCCAGGAAAAGCCUCUAAGCAUCAGGUAACAUCAAAUCGUACCCCAAACCGACACAGGUGGUCAGGUAGAGAAUACCAAGGCGCUUGAGAGAACUCGGGUGAAGGAACUAGGCAAAAUGGUGCCGUAACUUCGGGAGAAGGCACGCUGAUAUGUAGGUGAAGUCCCUCGCGGAUGGAGCUGAAAUCAGUCGAAGAUACCAGCUGGCUGCAACUGUUUAUUAAAAA
RNAcentral lists this ribosomal RNA (606 nucleotides) under Escherichia coli. RNAcentral describes it as "partial 23S ribosomal RNA". It matches the Rfam family "Bacterial large subunit ribosomal RNA", at positions 1223 to 1813 of the family's 2925-position model. The record is from RNAcentral. Lineage: Bacteria; Pseudomonadati; Pseudomonadota; Gammaproteobacteria; Enterobacterales; Enterobacteriaceae.